UCACCGGGUGAACAUCCAUUGC
This 22-nucleotide microRNA is filed under the name Pristionchus pacificus. RNAcentral's name for it is "ppc-miR-42a". Its record names the gene ppc-miR-42a. Lineage: Eukaryota; Metazoa; Nematoda; Chromadorea; Rhabditida; Neodiplogasteridae. The record is from miRBase by way of RNAcentral.